AUUGAACGCUGGCGGAAUGCUUUACACAUGCAAGUCGAACGGCAGCACGGACUUCGGUCUGGUGGCGAGUGGCGAACGGGUGAGUAACAUAUCGGAACGUAUCCAAUAAUGGGGGAUAACGAGUCGAAAGAUUCGCUAAUACCGCAUACGCCCUACGGGGGAAAGCUGGGGACCUCCGGGCCUGGCGUUAAUGGAGCGGCCGAUAUCUGAUUAGCUAGUUGGUGAGGUAAAGGCUCACCAAGGCGACGAUCAGUAGCUGGUCUGAGAGGACGACCAGCCACACUGGAACUGAGACACGGUCCAGACUCCUACGGGAGGCAGCAGUGGGGAAUUUUGGACAAUGGGCGCAAGCCUGAUCCAGCCAUUCCGCGUGAGUGAAGAAGGCCUUCGGGUUGUAAACUGCUUUUGUACAGAACGAAAAGGUUUCUACUAAUACUAGGAGCUCAUGACGGUACUGUAAGAAUAAGCACCGGCUAACUACGUGUCAGCAGCAGCCGCAG
Molecule: ribosomal RNA, 500 nt
Filed under: uncultured bacterium
Lineage: Bacteria
Description: partial 16S ribosomal RNA
Rfam family: Bacterial small subunit ribosomal RNA
Source: RNAcentral